Molecule: ribosomal RNA, 478 nt
Filed under: uncultured bacterium
Lineage: Bacteria
Description: partial 16S ribosomal RNA
Rfam family: Bacterial small subunit ribosomal RNA
Source: RNAcentral
GAUGAACGCUGGCGGCGUGCUUAACACAUGCAAGUCGAACGAGAAGUGAAGACGGAACCCUUCGGGCGGAAGGCUUUAUUUCGAGUGGCGGACGGGUGAGUAACGCGUGGGUAACCUGCCGCAUACAGGGGGAUAACAGUUGGAAACGACUGUUAAUACCGCAUAAGACCACAGCACCGCAUGGUGCGGGGGUAAAAACUCCGGUGGUAUGAGAUGGACCCGCGUUCGAUUAGCCAGUUGGCGGGGUAACGGCCCACCAAAGCGACGAUCGAUAGCCGAGCUGAGAGGAUGACCGGCCACAUUGGGACUGAGACACGGCCCAGACUCCUACGGGAGGCAGCAGUGGGGAAUAUUGCACAAUGGGGGAAACCCUGAUGCAGCGACGCCGCGUGAGUGAAGAAGUAUUUCGGUAUGUAAAGCUCUAUCAGCAGGGAAGAAAAUGACGGUACCUGAGUAAGAAGCCCCGGCUAACUACGUG